UACGUAGGGGGCUAGCGUUGUCCGGAUUUACUGGGCGUAAAGGGCGCGCAGGCGGCUUUGUUUGUCAGGCGUGAAAGCCCCGGGCUUAACCUGGGAACUGCGUUUGAUACGGCAGGGCUAGAGUUCGGGAGAGGAGAGUGGAAUUCCCAGUGUAGAGGUGAAAUUCGUAGAUAUUGGGAAGAACACCGGUGGCGAAGGCGGCUCUCUGGACCGAGACUGACGCUGAGGCGCGAAAGCGUGGGGAGCAAACAGG
RNAcentral lists this ribosomal RNA (253 nucleotides) under uncultured bacterium. Its description in RNAcentral is "partial 16S ribosomal RNA". It matches the Rfam family "Bacterial small subunit ribosomal RNA", at positions 524 to 776 of the family's 1533-position model. The record is from RNAcentral.